UUCACCCAGUUCAAUGUAACAGUGACAGGUUUAGGUUACUGUCAUUCAUAUUCACCCAGUUCAAUGUAACAGUGACAGGUUUAGGUUACUGUCAUUCAUAUUCACCCAGUUCAAUGUAACAGUGAUAGGUUUAGGUUACUGUCAUUCAUAUUCACCCAGUUCAAUGUAACAGUGAUAGGUUUAGGUUACUGUCAUUCAUAUUCACCCAGUUCAAUGUAACAGUGAUAGGUUUAGGUUACUGUCAUUCAUAUUCACCCAGUUCAAUGUAACAGUGAUAGGUUUAGGUUACUGUCAUUCAUAUUCACCCAGUUCAAUGUAACAGUGACAGGUUUAGGUUACUGUCAUUCAUAUUCACCCAGUUCAAUGUAACAGUGAUAGGUUUAGGUUACUGUCAUUCAUAUUCCAUUCACCCAGUUCAAUGUAACAGCGAUAGGUUUAGGUUACUGUCAUUCAUAUUCACCCAGUUCAAUGUAACAGUGAUAGGUUUAGGUUACUGUCAUUCAUAUUCACCCAGUUCAAUGUAACAGUGAUAGGUUUAGGUUACUGUCAUUCAUAUUCACCCAGUUCAAUGUAACAGUGAUAGGUUUAGGUUACUGUCAUUCAUAUUCACCCAGUUCAAUGUAACAGCGAUAGGUUUAGGUUACUGUCAUUCAUAUUCACCCAGUUCAAUGUAACAGCGAUAGGUUUAGGUUACUGUCAUUCAUAUUCACCCAGUUCAAUGUAACAGCGAUAGGUUUAGGUUACUGUCAUUCAUAUUCACCCAGUUCAAUGUAACAGUGAUAGGUUUAGGUUACUGUCAUUCAUAUUCACCCAGUUCAAUGUAACAGCGAUAGGUUUAGGUUACUGUCAUUCAUAUUCCAUUCACCCAGUUCAAUGUAACAGCGAUAGGUUUAGGUUACUGUCAUUCAUAUUCACCCAGUUCAAUGUAACAGCGAUAGGUUUAGGUUACUGUCAUUCAUAUUCACCCAGUUCAAUGUAACAGCGAUAGGUUUAGGUUACUGUCAUUCAUAUUCAC
Molecule: long non-coding RNA, 1015 nt
Organism: Oncorhynchus keta (chum salmon)
Lineage: Eukaryota; Metazoa; Chordata; Actinopteri; Salmoniformes; Salmonidae
Exons: 5
Source: RefSeq, a predicted model, not a curated record